Molecule: unclassified non-coding RNA, 395 nt
Filed under: soil metagenome
Description: partial contains 5.8S ribosomal RNA, internal transcribed spacer 2, and large subunit ribosomal RNA
Rfam family: 5.8S ribosomal RNA (bases 1-120)
Source: RNAcentral
GAUGAAGAACGUAGCGAAAUGCGAUAAGUAAUGUGAAUUGCAGAAUUCAGUGAAUCAUCGAAUCUUUGAACGCACCUUGCGCCUUUUGGUAUUCCGAAAGGCACACCUGUUUGAGCGUCAUGAAUACCUCAAUCUCCAUCUUUUCUUCGGAUUGAUGGGUGACUUGGAUGUUGAGCCCUGCUGGUAUGCUAUAUCAGCUGGCUUUAAACUUAUUAGCCGGCUCUGUACUGGAUCGGUUUGACUCGACGUGAUAAUAUUAUCGUUGAGGAUGCAUGUCUCAUGCAGCCGGAAAGUAUCAAAACAGCUUCUAGCUUGCCUUUAGUGCACUUUUACAUUUUAGACCUCAGAUCAGGUGGGACUACCCGCUGAACUUAAGCAUAUCAAUAAGCGGAGGA